GUGAGGAAUAUUGGUCAAUGGGAGCAAUCCUGAACCAGCAAUGCCGCGUGUGGGAUGACAGGGCUUCGCCUUGUAAACCACUGUCGGACGGGACGAAAGGAGGCCUCGGGCCUCUGGGACGGUACCGUCAAAGGAAGGGUCGGCUAACUACGUGCCAGCAGCCGCGGUAAUACGUAGGACCCGAGCGUUGUCCGGAUUUACUGGGUAUAAAGGGUGCGUAGGCGGCCUUGUGCGUCAGAGGUGAAAUAUCCGGGCUUAACCCGGAGGGUGCCUUUGAUACGGCAGGGCUUGAGUGCGAGAGAGGAUGAUGGAAUUCCUGGUGUAGCGGUGAAAUGCGUAGAUAUCAGGAGGAACACCGGUGGCGAAGGCGGUCAUCUGGCUCGUAACUGACGCUGAGGCACGAAAGCGCGGGGAUCAAACAGGAUUAGAUACCCCGGUAGUCC
Molecule: ribosomal RNA, 443 nt
Filed under: uncultured bacterium
Lineage: Bacteria
Description: bacterial SSU rRNA
Rfam family: Bacterial small subunit ribosomal RNA
Source: RNAcentral